RNAcentral lists this ribosomal RNA (386 nucleotides) under uncultured Desulfocapsa sp. RNAcentral's name for it is "bacterial SSU rRNA". It matches the Rfam family "Bacterial small subunit ribosomal RNA", at positions 998 to 1382 of the family's 1533-position model. The record is from RNAcentral. Lineage: Bacteria; Pseudomonadati; Thermodesulfobacteriota; Desulfobulbia; Desulfobulbales; Desulfocapsaceae.
CCGUUAGAAAGAGGAAGUGCCUCGCAAGAGGAGCCUGGAGACAGGUGCUGCAUGGCUGUCGUCAGCUCGUGUCGUGAGAUGUUGGGUUAAGUCCCGCAACGAGCGCAACCCUUGUCUUUAGUUGCCAUCAUUCAGUUGGGCACUCUAAAGAGACUGCCGGUGUCAAACCGGAGAAGGCGGGGAUGACGUCAAGUCCUCAUGGCCUUUAUGACCAGGGCUACACACGUACUACAAUGGCCGGUACAAAGGGCAGCCACUUAGCGAUAAGGAGCCAAUCCCGUAAAGCCGGUCUCAGUCCGGAUUGGAGUCUGCAACUCGACUCCAUGAAGUUGGAAUCGCUAGUAAUCGCAGAUCAGCACGCUGCGGUGAAUACGUUCCCGGGCCUU